This 1394-nucleotide long non-coding RNA is filed under the name Equus asinus (donkey). RNAcentral's name for it is "lncRNA (ENSEASG00005038285.1, ENSEASG00020028290.1)". The record is from RNAcentral. Lineage: Eukaryota; Metazoa; Chordata; Mammalia; Perissodactyla; Equidae.
UGCCUGAGAAACUAUAAACUUCAGUCUCCUUAUGGAUCAAUGAGGCUUUUAGAGGCAUUCCAUCACAACAUGGAUCUGGCCUUUUAGAUACAUUUUCCUACCUGCUCUUUAGGAAGAAGCCAGGUAACUUAGAACCACAUCUGACCUUGUUCUGCCACGAUGGGCAUCUGAAAGCGACCUUGGCAAAUAUUCCUCUUCAUUCCUGUGGAAUAUUGGCGGCAUGUGUCCAUCCAACCUUUUGUACUUCAGAGUGAACUUCUCAGUCAUCUUGGAAUAAUCUUGCGUCUGUCUAGUUCAUCCGAGUGUGGGAAAAAUAAUCUCCAUAUGAAGGGCCAUCUGGAGCACCGGGUGUAUAAUAAAUCACUGUGAACAGCAAUUAUACUUAUUGGGAGCCCAGUUAUUUUCUUGCAAGUAGAAACAGGAGGAUACGCUAUUGGCUUCUGAAAACAAUGUUGUCACGAACUUCCUUCUGGGAGAGCCGAAGGUCAGGAAGACCCCAGGCUGUCAGUCUGAGAAGAAAGGAGCUGCUAUAGUGGGGGAAUGGAAGACUAUCUGGAUUUUCCUCUUCUCCUUCAGCUGUAGUCCCUACAAAGAUCUAACAUGUUUUUAUCCUACGUAGCUUUUCUUAUAUCCUUUUAGAAAGUAUUACCCUUUGCAAUUUGCACUGAUCUGUUGAUCUUGACCAAGAUGCAGGUUUUCAAGGCAAAGUCACUUAGUAGCUGAAUGACCUUAAGUGAGCCAUCUCCCUCCCUCAGCCACUCCUUCCCCAAGUGGAGAAAGUGGCUAAUGGAAAUGUACCUAAUGUGGCUAACCUCCUGGCACAGAGGGGACCAAUAAACAUGAAUUCCCUUCUCUCUUAAGUAAAAAAUCCCAAAGAAGAGGAAGUCGACAUGCAAAUAACUUUAAAUAGCAUAAUUUCAACAGCAAAUAGAUACAAUCUAAAUGUUAGACAAUAGGCUGUUUAAAUCAAUUAUGUGUUCUAGAUACCACCAUUCUUCUAUUAACAGAUGCCACCCUCCCCCUUCUCCCCAUUAAAGGACUGGAAAAUCAACUCAGAAAGGACACUGUCUCCCUUCUUUUUUAUCACAGUGAUUGGUCCAGGAUGGACACACGGUUCAAUCCAGCUCAAAGGGCUUCCCUUAGAUUUUCCUGUCGAAAAGAUUUUGUCUUCCUUUUUUGGUGGAGAGUUGUAUGACUGACUCCUACAUUUUCAGGUGGCAUGGCCCCCAGCACAUGGAAGAGUCUGGAAGGAGAAUGGGAAGUGAAGAAUCUGGUGAUAUCAAGCUACUGGCCCCCAAUCCUUAGGUUCCCAUGGCUGCUUGGUUCUCACAGUUCAGUGAGCAAUCCCAGAAUUUUCCCAUUAAAUUUCCCUUUUCCUUCAGCUAGCUGGAGUU